This 162-nucleotide unclassified non-coding RNA is filed under the name Komagataea norvegica. RNAcentral describes it as "[Candida] norvegica ITS2". The record is from RNAcentral. Lineage: Eukaryota; Fungi; Ascomycota; Saccharomycetes; Phaffomycetales; Wickerhamomycetaceae.
CCUUCUCAAGCGUGAGCUUGGUGUUGGCGGAGGUCUUUCGAGGCCCCGCUGAAAUACGCAGGGGGUGCGUGGAAACGAGCUUUCUCUCUACUAAUGUCUAGUUCUGCCAACUCAUUGGACGAGCGUCUGCUGGCUCCACAAUCCCACCCCCAUUACCCCAAC